GGUUGUGACUCAGUGGUAGAGUGCUCACCUAGCAUGUAUGAGGCCCUGGGUUCUAUCCUCAGCAACACA
This 69-nucleotide transfer RNA is filed under the name Marmota monax (woodchuck). RNAcentral describes it as "tRNA.Ala". It matches the Rfam family "tRNA". From Rfam's summary of the family: Transfer RNA (tRNA) molecules are approximately 80 nucleotides in length. Their secondary structure includes four short double-helical elements and three loops (D, anti-codon, and T loops). Lineage: Eukaryota; Metazoa; Chordata; Mammalia; Rodentia; Sciuridae. The record is from RNAcentral.